CAGUAGGUGUGUCCAAACUUUUGACUGGUACGGUACAUUAGCGUGUGUUGUAUCAAGUUUUAAGACCGACAAGUCACACCUUUUUUUCGGACUGUAAAGUUCAAUCAGAAGACCGAUAGUUUUCAUCUUGCUGAUCGCAAUUUAUUUUGGGGCCGAUCAAUUCCUCAGUUGGCUGUAAGAAGAUCCUUCAUCUCCUCUUGAUUUGGUGACCUGUCCUAUCAUGGCUGAAAAGCUAGCGUCCUUCGGUAAGAUGCUGCUCCGGCGACGGGCGCUGGACUGUAACCAGGAAGAGAGCCACUUUGCCCGCUGCCUGACCACGCUGGACCUUAUUGCCCUGGGGGUGGGUGCCACUCUGGGGGCCGGCGUCUAUGUGCUGGCUGGAGAGGUGGCCAGGGAGAAGGCCGGCCCAGCCAUCGUGCUCUGCUUCCUCAUCGCAGCGCUCUCCUCCGUCCUUGCUGGUCUGUGUUAUGCUGAGUUUGGUGCUCGUGUGCCCAAGACUGGUUCAGCCUACAUGUACAGCUAUGUGACUGUGGGGGAAAUCUGGGCCUUCAUCACUGGCUGGAACCUCAUCCUCUCCUAUGUCAUAGGCACAGCCAGUGUUGCUCGGGCCUGGAGCUCCACCUUUGACAACCUGGUUGAACAGAAGAUCUCAGACUUCUUCAGAGCCUCCAUGUCCAUCAAGGUCCCUGGGAAGAUUCUUGCUGAAUACCCAGACCUCUUCGCCUUCAUCCUGAUCUUGCUGCUCACUGGCCUGCUGGCGUUUGGCGUGAGUGAGUCGGCCCUGGUGAACAAGAUCUUCACGGGGGUCAACCUGGUGGUGCUGGGCUUCGUCAUCAUCUCAGGCCUGGUGAAGGGAGACCGUACCAACUGGAACCUCACUGUGGAGGACUUUGUCAACACAACCAACAUCACUGAUCCAGAGAUAAUUAAAGAGAAGUUUGGCACCGGGGGUUUUGCUCCAUUUGGCUUCAGUGGAGUCCUGUCUGGGGCAGCAACCUGCUUCUAUGCCUUUGUGGGGUUCGACUGCAUCGCAACAACAAGUGAAGAGGCCAAGAACCCUAUGCGUUCUAUCCCCAUCGGUAUCGUGGCUUCUCUGCUCAUCUGUUUCUUUGCCUACUUCGGGGUGUCUGCGGCUCUCACCCUUAUGAUGCCCUACUACCUGCUGAACAGAGAGAGCCCACUGCCAGAGGCCUUCAGUUAUGUGCACUGGGACCCUGCCCGCUACAUCGUGGCUGUGGGCUCCCUCUGUGCCCUCUCCACCAGUUUACUGGGCUCAAUGUUCCCCAUGCCCCGUGUAAUCUAUGCCAUGGCUGAGGACGGCCUGCUCUUCCGCUUCCUCUCAAAGAUGAACAUAAAAACCAAGACGCCCCUGUUAGCCACCAUCGUGUCGGGUAUUGUAGCAGCCCUGAUGGCAUUCCUGUUUGAUCUGGCAGCCCUGGUAGACCUGAUGUCGAUAGGAACUCUCCUGGCAUACACACUAGUGGCAGUGUGUGUGCUUAUCCUCAGGUACCAGCCGGGUACCCUGGGCCUCAGCGGUGCCAGUGAGAAGCUGGUGGAGCUGGUGGGUCUGCGGAGGGCAACCAUGGGGGAGGGGGACAGUGGAGACGAGUUUGACCAGGAGGGUGAGGGGGAGACCAGGCCCCUCAGGGAGAGGUUCACCCUCAAGAUGCUGCUGGUGCCCAGCUGUGACGUCCCCACCAAGACCUCCGGACUUAUCGUGUACAUCACUACCGCUGUCAUCUCUGUGGUAUUCACCCUGCUGUGCGUAGUGCUGGCUGUGUGGGGGGCAGAGGUGGUGAGUGGCCACCCCCUGUGGGUCACCAUAUGUGCCAUACUGGCCUUCUUCGCCUUCCUGUGUGUGGCCAUCAUCUGGAGACAGCCCCCGAGCAGACAGGCACUCACCUUUAAAGUACCCCUGCUCCCAGUGCUGCCAUUGGUCAGUAUCUUUGUCAACAUUUACCUCAUGAUGCAGCUGGAUGGGCCAACAUGGUGUCGCUUUGCAGUGUGGAUGACUAUUGGUUUUCUCAUCUACUUUGGUUAUGGGAUUAAGAACAGCUCAGAGGCCUCACCCAACCGUGGUAAAUUUGAGACAGUCCUCCGAUCAAAGAGUCCCAUCUACCUGGCAGAGGAUGACAGUGAGGUGGAAGGGAUGACACCUUAGAGGAGAAUAGUGGUGGAGUAGAUGGUGUACGCCCCAACAACAUAACACGCAAGACGAACAGGACAAUGACCCAAAACACACCUCCAUGCUGUGUAAGGGCUAUUUGACCAAGAAGGAGAGUGAUGGAGUGCUGCAUCAGAUGACCUGGCCUCCACAAUCACCCAAUCUAACCCAAUUGAGAUGGUUUGGGAUGAGUUAGACUGCAGUUGAAGGAAAAGCAACCAACAAGUGCUCAGCAUAUGUGGGAACUCCUUCAUGACUGUUGGAAAAGCAUUCCAGGUGAAGCUGGUUGAGAGUGUGCAAAGCUGUCCUCAAGGCAAAGGCUGGCUACUUUGAAAAAUCUCAAAUAUAUAAAAACUAUUUUGAUUUAACACUUUUUUUGGCUACAUGAUUCCAUGUGUUAUUUCAUAGUUUUGAUACCUUCACUAUUAUUCUACAAAGUAAAAAAAUAAAGAACCUUGAAUGAGUAGGUGUGUAUUCACUUUUGACUGGUACUGUAUGUGCACUGAGAUAUACACUGAUUGUACAAAACAUUAAGAACACCUGUGAUUUCCAUGACAGUCUGACCUGGUGAAAGCUACAGUCCCUUAUUGAUGUCACUUGUUAAAUACACUGCAAUCAGUGUAGAUGAAGGGGAGGAUACAGGUUAAAGAAGGAUUCUUAAGCAUUGAGACAUUGUCUGUGUGCCAUUCAGAGGGUGGACAAGACAAGAUUUAUGUGCCUUUUGAACAGGUUAUGGUAGUAGGUAAGAGGCACACUGCUGGGUUUUUCAUGCUCAACAGGUUUCUAUGUGUAACAAAAAUGAUCCACCACCCAAAGAACACCUAGCCAACUUGAAACAACUGUGGGAAGCAUUAGAGUCAACAUGGGCCAGCAUCCAUGUGGAACUCUUUCGACACCUUGUAGAGUCCAUGCCCUGACGCCAAAAGGGAGGGGUGCGUGCAACUUAAUAUUAGGAAGGUGUUCUUAACGUUUUGUAUACUCGAUCAACAUGAACUUGCCAAAUUUCUGCAUAUCUAACCAUUUUGAAAAGGUUUUUUGUAUUAAAUAUGUCAUUUAGGUGGUACAAAUGGCAUGACACAGAGUUCCUCCAUUUUUAAUGUGUUAUUCUAGUGCCUGGUUGUUUCUGCCUGAAUUCAGCCAUUUUCCCCAAAAUGGUGUCUGAUAUCCACUGUCUUUGCCUGUGAGUUACUGCUGGGUACAGUAAGCACACCAACAGGGUAUGUUGUGUGUCCUCCUGUCCAUAUAGGUAAAUUACUAUGGUAUUAUUUGUGUUCUUUGGGGACAGGCAAUACCAAGGAGUGGGUCAAACAAACCCAGAACUCACUGUCUGCACUUUAGAGAGAUGCUUGACAAUGAAAUUAAAUUUUGUAAAACUUGGUCCUUACCCAAAAGAUGGUAAUAUUUCUAAUUGUUUAAGAAUUUAUCAUUUAGAAUAGAGAAUAUUUUUUUAAACAAUCAUUAGUUGAAUUUUGUUUUCAUAUUUAUACAUAGAUAUGUAUGCUAUAUUUGUUAAUUAUUGGAAGAGCUGCCCAAAUAAUUAUUCAAUUUAAAAUGAUGCUCUUAACUGUAGAGAGAAAUAACUUAUUUUUGUACCAUGAUGAUCGACAAACUCUACCAAAUAGAGAGAUGUCUAUAGGAAGGUACACUGAAGAAAAAUGCUGAUAUUCCUUGGAGCCCAAAACUGGCACUACUGAAAGGCAGAGAAAGGAUUACAAUACAUUAGCCUAGUAUGAAAGGGCUUACAGGUUUCAUUCCUGUUUUAAGGUCUUAAUCUCGUGGUACAUGUUACUUACAUGAUUGAUUCCAUGUAUAAUUUUGUACAUAACUGUUUUGUAUAUAAUUGUGUCAUUGAUAGAUGGGCCUGGGUUUUAAUCUCUUAACUCUGAGUGUCUAACUGAAUGUAUUAAUAACAUUAACUGAAAACCCCACCAGCCUCAGUCCAAUUUUGUUUCUAGACACUUUGCUGUGGUGUUCAAAUCAACUUGUUUUUUUCUGUUUUAACUGUGUGCCUCAAUUUAUUUGCUCACUUCAAGGGUAUGUAAGUAACUGUUAUUUGUAUUCUAUGCCUAUUUACGAGAUGUGGAAAUGGUCACAUCACAGAUAAUCAAUUCAAAUUGGUAUCCCUUCAGAUUAUUGCGAUUUAAAUGACCAUUUUAAGAUCAAGACUGGCCAGUCUUGUGUAAAAAUGGCCUAGAAAACACACUACAAAUAGCUGUGAGAAAGUCUACAAUAUGGUAUUUUUGUAUUUUAUUUUAUGCUUCCAGGGGGCUCAAAGCUUGAUACAGAAUCAUGUUGCAAAGAAAAGUCUUGCACAUUACGUCAGUGUCUCAUACAAGGUUUUGUGGAGUGAGUUACAAUACUAGGAUGUUUACAAACUACCUUGGUCAUCAGAACAGUAUUUGAGAAAAUAACAAUUGUUUUGUACUAACCUUUUCAUGUCCAUUUGUACUCUUACUGAUUUUAAAGCAUAGUAUAACUGUACUAUCUGUAAAUGUGUGAAGAGAAAUUACUGUAUAUAAUCAAUGUUUUUUUUUUGUUAAGUAAAUUUGAAUCCUCCAAUGAAAA
Molecule: RNA transcript, 4729 nt
Organism: Oncorhynchus keta (chum salmon)
Lineage: Eukaryota; Metazoa; Chordata; Actinopteri; Salmoniformes; Salmonidae
Gene name: cationic amino acid transporter 3-like
Exons: 13
Source: RefSeq, a predicted model, not a curated record